This 69-nucleotide transfer RNA is filed under the name Iniistius dea. RNAcentral's name for it is "tRNA-Met". It matches the Rfam family "tRNA". Rfam says of the family: Transfer RNA (tRNA) molecules are approximately 80 nucleotides in length. Their secondary structure includes four short double-helical elements and three loops (D, anti-codon, and T loops). Lineage: Eukaryota; Metazoa; Chordata; Actinopteri; Labriformes; Labridae. RNAcentral also lists the same sequence under 1 other name. The record is from RNAcentral.
AGAAAGGUCAGCUAACUAAGCUUUUGGGCCCAUACCCCAAGAAUGUUGGUUAAAGUCCAACCCUUCCUA